CCAAUAGCGUAUAUUAAAGUUGUUGCAGUUAAAAAGCUCGUAGUUGAAUUUUAGACCUGGCCAGGCGGUCCGUCUUUGGCGAGUACUGUUCUGUGUUGGGCCUUUCCUUCUGGUUAACCGGCGUGCUCUUUAUUGAGUGCGCCGUGCGAGCCAGGACCAUUACCUUGAAAAAAUUAGAGUGUUUAAAGCGGGCAUUUGCUUGAAUAGAUUAGCAUGGAAUAAUAGAAUAGGACGUUGGUUCUAUUUUGUUGGUCUAGGACCACCGUAAUGAUUAAUAGGGAUAGUUGGGGGCAUUAGUAUUCAAUUGUCAGAGGUGAAAUUCUUGGAUUUAUUGAAGACUAACUAUUGCGAAAGCAUUUGCCAAGGAUGUUUUCAUUAAUCAAGAACGAAAGUUAGGGGAUCGAAGACGAUCAGAUACCGUCGUAGUCUUAACCAUAAACUAUGCCGACUAGGAAUCGGGCGACGUUAUUUUCAUGACUCGCUCGGCGCCUUAUG
This 495-nucleotide ribosomal RNA is filed under the name uncultured Glomeromycotina. RNAcentral's name for it is "partial small subunit ribosomal RNA". It matches the Rfam family "Eukaryotic small subunit ribosomal RNA", at positions 591 to 1092 of the family's 1831-position model. The record is from RNAcentral. Lineage: Eukaryota; Fungi; Glomeromycota.